UUUAUACGCAUUACAUAUACAAUAUUAAACUUUUUUUUUUUUAUGGUUUUAUUAUGAAAGAUAUUAACAGAGAAAAGUACAAUGACCGACAAAGCAAGAGAAGUUAUGAAUGAUAUACUGAACAUUAAUUCUAAAAUAAAGCCUCCUAAAGAAGUGGAAAAAAAAAACGAAGAAAAUGUUAAUACAGAAUUAAACAAAAAUGAAUUUAAUUUAUUAAACAAUGAAAAUAAGCAAGGGACUAAUGAUUCUAAAAUAGAUAAUACUGUAAGUUUUUUCAAUUAUACACCAUAUUAAUGUACAUACAUUAUGCAAAUAUAUAUGCAUAUAUAUAUAUAUAUAUUUUUUUUUUUUUUUCUUUUCAGAAUUAUGUUCCCGAAAUUCAUGAUUUAAACGAAACUAUUAUGAAAGAAAUGGAUGACCCAGAAAGGUAUGCGACUAUUAAAUACAGCAUUUUACAUAUAUUUUCGGUAAUUAUAGUUGUAUCUGAUUUUGUAGUUAUAUUCGUAUAUGUAUCUAUAUAAUAUAUACAAUUUAUUUAAAUAUAAUUUAUGAAAAAUGUUAUAUUUGUAGAUGUAGAGAUGUAGCAAUUUGCACAGAUGAAAAUAUAAAAAAAAUGAUAAAAACAUUAGAAAAAUAUUCUUAACAAGUUUAUAAUGUUUUGAAACAUACAUAUAGAUAUACAUAAACAUAUAUAUAUAUAUAUAUAUAUACGUAUGUGCUAAUGUAAUUGUAAAAAAAUUAAAUACAAGCCAAACAUAUUAUAAAAAAAAUGCAUCGAUGUAGUACAAAUCGAAUGUAAAAACGAGUGAACAAAUAAUUUCAAUUAAGAAUGCUAAUUAACACAAACAUUGUAUAUGAAAAACAAAGAUGCACAUUACAUACAUACUUGUGUAUAUAUAUACACACGCUUGCUCUUGCAUGUACAUAUUUUAGUUUUUAUUUUUUUUACUCACAAAAAUGUAAUAUUUAUCCAUCCUUUAAUGAAAGUCUUUACGAAUCAAAUUUUAUCAUACCUCUUUCAUAAUUAUUUUUUCUUUUAAGAUAUAAUUCAUACUUUUUAGACGAUCAUAGCGAAGGUAAUUAAAAAGCGAUAAUAAAAAAACAGAUUACGCAAAAAUAUACA
RNAcentral lists this long non-coding RNA (1123 nucleotides) under Piliocolobus tephrosceles (Ugandan red Colobus). Its description in RNAcentral is "lncRNA (ENSPTEG00000009680.1)". The record is from RNAcentral. Lineage: Eukaryota; Metazoa; Chordata; Mammalia; Primates; Cercopithecidae.